RNAcentral lists this ribosomal RNA (301 nucleotides) under uncultured bacterium. Its description in RNAcentral is "partial 16S ribosomal RNA". It matches the Rfam family "Bacterial small subunit ribosomal RNA", at positions 509 to 807 of the family's 1533-position model. The record is from RNAcentral.
CAGUCGCCGCGGGAAUACGAAGGGUGCAAGCGUUAAUCGGAAUUACUGGGCGUAAAGCGUGCGCAGGCGGUUAUAUAAGACAGAUGUGAAAUCCCCGGGCUCAACCUGGGAACUGCAUUUGAGACUGUAUGGCUAGAGUGUGUCAGAGGGGGGUAGAAUUCCACGUGUAGCAGUGAAAUGCGUAGAUAUGCGGAGGAACACCGAUGGCGAAGGCAGCCCCCUGGGCCAAUACUGACGCUCAUGCACGAAAGCGUGGGGAGCAAACAGGAUUAGAGACCCCUGUAGUCCCUGUCUCUUAUAC